UGGGGAAUAUUGCGCAAUGGGGGAAACCCUGACGCAGCAACGCCGCGUGGAGGAAGAAGGUUUUCGGAUCGUAAACUCUUGUCUUCGGGGACGAAUAAAUGACGGUACCCGAGGAGGAAGCCACGGCUAACUACGUGCCAGCAGCCGCGGUAAUACGUAGGUGGCAAGCGUUGUCCGGAAUUACUGGGUGUAAAGGGCGUGUAGGCGGGAAGAUAAGUCAGAUGUGAAAUACCAAGGCUCAACCUUGGGACUGCAUUUGAAACUAUCUUUCUUGAGUGCAGGAGAGGAAAGUGGAAUUCCUAGUGUAGCGGUGAAAUGCGUAGAUAUUAGGAGGAACACCAGUGGCGAAGGCGACUUUCUGGACUGUAACUGACGCUGAGGCGCGAAAGCGUGGGGAGCGAACAGG
Molecule: ribosomal RNA, 406 nt
Filed under: uncultured bacterium
Lineage: Bacteria
Description: bacterial SSU rRNA
Rfam family: Bacterial small subunit ribosomal RNA
Source: RNAcentral